UACGGGGGGAGCAAGCGUUGUUCGGAUUUACUGGGCGUAAAGCGCACGUAGGCGGCUCUUUAAGUCGGGGGUGAAAUCCUGGAGCUCAACUCCAGAACUGCCUUCGAUACUGUAGAGCUUGAGUUCGGGAGAGGUGAGUGGAACUGCGAGUGUAGAGGUGAAAUUCGUAGAUAUUCGCAAGAACACCAGUGGCGAAGGCGGCUCACUGGCCCGAUACUGACGCUGAGGUGCGAAAGCGUGGGGAGCAAACAGG
This 253-nucleotide ribosomal RNA is filed under the name uncultured bacterium. RNAcentral's name for it is "partial 16S ribosomal RNA". It matches the Rfam family "Bacterial small subunit ribosomal RNA", at positions 524 to 776 of the family's 1533-position model. The record is from RNAcentral.